This 253-nucleotide ribosomal RNA is filed under the name uncultured bacterium. RNAcentral describes it as "partial 16S ribosomal RNA". It matches the Rfam family "Bacterial small subunit ribosomal RNA", at positions 524 to 776 of the family's 1533-position model. The record is from RNAcentral.
UACGGAGGGUGCAAGCGUUAUCCGGAUUCACUGGGCUUAAAGGGUGCGUAGGUGGGUUGGUAAGUCAGUGGUGAAAUCUCCGAGCUUAACUUGGAAACUGCCAUUGAUACUAUCAGUCUUGAAUAUUGUGGAGGUCAGCGGAAUAUGUAAUGUAGCGGUGAAAUGCUUAGAUAUGACAUAGAACACCAAUUGCGAAGGCAGCUGGCUGGACAUAUAUUGACACUGAGGCACGAAAGCGUGGGGAGCAAACAGG